RNAcentral lists this ribosomal RNA (253 nucleotides) under uncultured bacterium. Its description in RNAcentral is "partial 16S ribosomal RNA". It matches the Rfam family "Bacterial small subunit ribosomal RNA", at positions 524 to 776 of the family's 1533-position model. The record is from RNAcentral.
UACGGAGGGUGCAAACGUUGCUCGGAAUCACUGGGCGUAAAGGGCGCGUAGGCGGCCGAUUAAGUCGGGGGUGAAAGCCUGUGGCUCAACCACAGAAUUGCCUUCGAUACUGGUUGGCUUGAGACCGGAAGAGGACAGCGGAACUGCGAGUGUAGAGGUGAAAUUCGUAGAUAUUCGCAAGAACACCAGUGGCGAAGGCGGCUGUCUGGUCCGGUUCUGACGCUGAGGCGCGAAAGCGUGGGGAGCAAACAGG